Molecule: ribosomal RNA, 468 nt
Filed under: uncultured bacterium
Lineage: Bacteria
Description: partial 16S ribosomal RNA
Rfam family: Bacterial small subunit ribosomal RNA
Source: RNAcentral
GAUGAACGCUGGCGGCGUGCUUAACACAUGCAAGUCGAACGGAAAGGCCCAAGCUUGCCUGGGUACUCGAGUGGCGAACGGGUGAGUAACACGCGGGUGAUCUGCCCUGCACUUCGGGAUAAGCCCUGGAAACUGGGUCUAAUACCGGAUAGGACGAUGGUUUGGAUGCUAUUGUGGAAAGUUUUUUCGGUGUGGGAUGAGCUCGCGGCCUAUCAGCUUUUUGGUGGGGUAGUGGGAGACCAAGUCGUCGGCGGGUAGCCGGCCUGCGAGGGUGGAGGGCGACAUUGGGACUGGGAUGCGGCCCAGGCUCCUACGGGGGGCAGCAGUGGGGAAUAUUGAACAAUGGGGGAGAGACGGAGGCAGCGAGGCGGCGUGGGGGGUGACGGCCUUCGGGUUGGAAACUCCUUUCGCUAGGGACGAAGCGUUUUUGUGACGGUACCUGGAGAAGAAGCACCGGCUAACUACGUG